Non-coding RNA from Vigna angularis (adzuki bean), 98 nucleotides. The record is from Rfam. NCBI's taxonomy places the organism in Eukaryota, Viridiplantae, Streptophyta, Magnoliopsida, Fabales, Fabaceae.
AGAGAGUGAUGCAGCCAAGGAUGACUUGCCGGCGUUACACUGCAUGCUCUUCACGGUAACUUUGUCGGCAAGUGGUUCUUGGCUACGUUUGGCUCUUU